RNAcentral lists this ribosomal RNA (1786 nucleotides) under human gut metagenome. RNAcentral describes it as "bacterial LSU rRNA". It matches the Rfam family "Bacterial large subunit ribosomal RNA", at positions 396 to 2197 of the family's 2925-position model. The record is from RNAcentral.
CCUAGCAGUAUCCUGAGUACGGCGGGACACGAGAAAUCCCGUCGGAAUCUGGGAGGACCAUCUCCCAACCCUAAAUACUCUCUAGUGACCGAUAGUGAACCAGUACCGUGAGGGAAAGGUGAAAAGCACCCCGGGAGGGGAGUGAAAUAGAACCUGAAACCGUGUGCCUACAACAAGUUCGAGCCCGUUAAUGGGUGAGAGCGUGCCUUUUGUAGAAUGAACCGGCGAGUUACGAUAUGAUGCGAGGUUAAGUUGAAGAGACGGAGCCGUAGGGAAACCGAGUCUGAAUAGGGCGGAAUAGUAUUAUGUCGUAGACCCGAAACCAUGUGACCUACCCAUGAGCAGGUUGAAGGUGAGGUAAAACUCACUGGAGGACCGAACCAGGGCACGUUGAAAAGUGCUUGGAUGACUUGUGGGUAGCGGAGAAAUUCCAAACGAACUUGGAGAUAGCUGGUUCUCUCCGAAAUAGCUUUAGGGCUAGCGUCGACAUUAAGAUUCUUGGAGGUAGAGCACUGUUUGGGUGAGGGGUCCAUCCCGGAUUACCAAUCUCAGAUAAACUCCGAAUGCCAAUGAAUUAUGGUCGGCAGUCAGACUGCGAGUGCUAAGAUCCGUAGUCGAAAGGGAAACAGCCCAGACCACCAGCUAAGGUCCCAAAAUAAUUGUUAAGUGGAAAAGGAUGUGGGGUUGCACAGACAACUAGGAUGUUAGCUUAGAAGCAGCUAUUCAUUCAAAGAGUGCGUAAUAGCUCACUAGUCGAGUGACCCUGCGCCGAAAAUGUACCGGGGCUAAAACAAUUUACCGAAGCUGUGGAUACCUUUAUAGGUAUGGUAGGAGAGCGUUCUAUGUGUGGAGAAGGUGUACCGUGAGGAGCGCUGGAACGCAUAGAAGUGAGAAUGCCGGUAUGAGUAGCGAAAGACAGGUGAGAAUCCUGUCCACCGUAAGACUAAGGUUUCCAGGGGAAGGCUCGUCCGCCCUGGGUUAGUCGGGACCUAAGGAGAGACCGAAAGGUGUAUCCGAUGGACAACAGGUUGAUAUUCCUGUACUAGAGUAUGUAGUGAAGGAGGGACGCAGUAGGCUAACUAAAGCGUGCGACUGGAAGUGCACGUCUAAGCAGUGAGGUGUGAAUUGAGUUAAAUGCUUAAUUCUAUAACAUUGAGCUGUGAUGGGGAGCGAAGUUUAGUAGCGAAGUUAGUGACGUCACACUGCCAAGAAAAGCUUCUAGCGUUAAUCAUACUCUACCCGUACCGCAAACCGACACAGGUAGUCGAGGCGAGUAGCCUCAGGUGAGCGAGAGAACUCUCGUUAAGGAACUCGGCAAAAUGACCCCGUAACUUCGGGAGAAGGGGUGCUGGCUUUCAGUCAGCCGCAGUGAAUAGGCCCAAGCAACUGUUUAUCAAAAACACAGCUCUCUGCUAAAUCGUAAGAUGAUGUAUAGGGGGUGACGCCUGCCCGGUGCUGGAAGGUUAAGAGGAGUGCUUAGCGGUAACGCGAAGGUAUGAAUUGAAGCCCCAGUAAACGGCGGCCGUAACUAUAACGGUCCUAAGGUAGCGAAAUUCCUUGUCGGGUAAGUUCCGACCCGCACGAAAGGCGUAAUGAUUUGGGCACUGUCUCAACGAGAGACUCGGUGAAAUUUUAGUACCUGUGAAGAUGCAGGUUACCCGCGACAGGACGGAAAGACCCCAUGGAGCUUUACUGCAGUUUGAUAUUGAGUGUCUGUGCCACAUGUACAGGAUAGGUAGGAGCCAUUGAGAUCGGGACGCCAGUUUCGAUGGAGGCGUUGUUGGGA